Molecule: ribosomal RNA, 504 nt
Filed under: uncultured bacterium
Lineage: Bacteria
Description: partial 16S ribosomal RNA
Rfam family: Bacterial small subunit ribosomal RNA
Source: RNAcentral
AUUGAACGCUGGCGGCAGGCCCAACACAUGCAAGUCGAACGGUAGCACAGAGAGCUUGCUCUCGGGUGACGAGUGGCGGACGGGUGAGUAAUGUCUGGGAAACUGCCCGAUGGAGGGGGAUAACUACUGGAAACGGUAGCUAAUACCGCAUAACGUCGCAAGACCAAAGUGGGAGACCUUCGGGCCUCACACCAUCGGAUGUGCCCAGAUGGGAUUAGCUAGUAGGUGGGGUAAUGGCUCACCUAGGCGACGAUCCCUAGCUGGUCUGAGAGGAUGACCAGCCACACUGGAACUGAGACACGGUCCAGACUCCUACGGGAGGCAGCAGUGGGGAAUAUUGCACAAUGGGCGCAAGCCUGAUGCAGCCAUGCCGCGUGUAUGAAGAAGGCCUUCGGGUUGUAAAGUACUUUCAGCGGGGAGGAAGGCGGUGAAGUUAAUAACUUCACCGAUUGACGUUACCCGCAGAAGAAGCACCGGCUAACUCCGUGCCAGCAGCCGCGGUAA